Molecule: long non-coding RNA, 441 nt
Organism: Peromyscus californicus insignis
Lineage: Eukaryota; Metazoa; Chordata; Mammalia; Rodentia; Cricetidae
Exons: 2
Source: RefSeq, a predicted model, not a curated record
ACAAAAGCAGGAGGCGUUUAAAACCACAAAGGCAGCACAAAUCAGAAGAAUAUCUGCCUGGAAGCAACUCUCUACCCAUUUGUAUAUAUUUUAACCGUACUUUGCCAGGGUCAGGACUGUAAGAGAAAGCAGCUUCCCAUUUGAGGGUGCUGUUAUUAAUCCACUGGCAAGGUGCCACCCCAUUAACUUGCCAGAAUGGAGCUCCCUCUAUUUGUUUAGAAGUGGACCUGAAAUCUCAAGGUAAGUGUCUGAACACUGUCACCACAUAGACACAUGUAUCUCCUUACUGUAGAGUCAAAGCAUGAAGCCGAUAGCAAUGCCGUGGAGGUAGAAGUCGCCACCAUUUCCCUCCUCAACCCCACCCAGACACCUGCACCAGCACAAGCCUCCUGUUCCUCUGUCGUCACAAGUAAACAGUACUAACUUAAACAGGUCACCCUA